This 48-nucleotide non-coding RNA is filed under the name Schistosoma mansoni. The record is from RNAcentral. Lineage: Eukaryota; Metazoa; Platyhelminthes; Trematoda; Strigeidida; Schistosomatidae.
ACCCAGCUGACGAGUCCCAAAUAGGACGAAACGUGCGUCAAAUUGGAU